RNAcentral lists this transfer RNA (69 nucleotides) under Podarcis lilfordi (Lilford's wall lizard). RNAcentral describes it as "tRNA.Lys". The stretch from base 4 to 61 matches the Rfam family "tRNA", at positions 8 to 63 of the family's 71-position model. Rfam says of the family: Transfer RNA (tRNA) molecules are approximately 80 nucleotides in length. Their secondary structure includes four short double-helical elements and three loops (D, anti-codon, and T loops). The record is from RNAcentral. Lineage: Eukaryota; Metazoa; Chordata; Lepidosauria; Squamata; Lacertidae.
GGAUAGCUCAGUUGGUAGAGCAUAAGACUUUUAAUCUCUGGGUCGUGGGUUUGAGCCCCACAUUAGGCA